This is a long non-coding RNA of Seriola dumerili (greater amberjack), 450 nucleotides long. RefSeq lists it as uncharacterized. Lineage: Eukaryota; Metazoa; Chordata; Actinopteri; Carangiformes; Carangidae. The record is from RefSeq and is a predicted model, not a curated record. The transcript is spliced from 4 exons.
AUCUGAUUGUUAGUGGGUCUCGUGCUCCCACUCCUGUAACCCCUGCAAGCCUAACAUCAGGUCAGACUGUUGGGAAGCAGAGUAACCCUGGUAGUACCAUCUCUACUUCCCAAACAUCUAUGAAACCAACAUCAGCACAAACAAUGUUAUGGAUGUUGACAGUUGUGACUGGUUGUGGAGUAGCUCUGGGUGUCAUCAUACUACUAUCAGCAGUUCUCAGGAAGCAGAAAAAAGCUGUCUGACACAUAUCACCUUUACUCCACCGUCUCUGAGGAGCCAGCUACAUUGGUCCUGGGAGGCAUGGCGUACAGCACCGUGACGGCACACUGACACACAGACAUCUUUUCCUGCACAAAAAAAGAUGAAGCCUAAAGAACUGUUGGAAGUGUAAAACUUUUGUUUAGAGUUGACCAGCGUAAGACAGUAGGCCACAAUAGUGUAAUGUUAGAC